Molecule: ribosomal RNA, 496 nt
Filed under: uncultured bacterium
Lineage: Bacteria
Description: partial 16S ribosomal RNA
Rfam family: Bacterial small subunit ribosomal RNA
Source: RNAcentral
AUGCACGCUGGCGGCGUGCCUAAUACAUGCCAGUCGAGCGAACAGACGAGGAGCUUGCUCCUUUGACGUUAGCGGCGGACGGGUGAGUAACACGUGGAUAACCUACCUAUAAGACUGGGAUGACUUCGGGAAACCGGAGCUAAUACCGGAUAACAUGUUGAACCGCAUGGUUCAACAGUGAAAGACGGUCUUGCUGUCACUUAUAGAUGGAUCCGCGCCGCAUUAGCUAGUUGGUAAGGUAACGGCUUACCAAGGCAACGAUGCGUAGCCGACCUGAGAGGGUGAUCGGCCACACUGGAACUGAGACACGGUCCAGACUCCUACGGGAGGCAGCAGUAGGGAAUCUUCCGCAAUGGGCGAAAGCCUGACGGAGCAACGCCGCGUGAGUGAAGAAGGUCUUCGGAUCGUAAAACUCUGCUAUUAGGGAAGAACAAAUGUGUAAGUAACUAUGCACGUCUUGACGGUACCUAAUCAGAAAGCCACGGCUAACUACGUG